This 839-nucleotide ribosomal RNA is filed under the name uncultured bacterium. RNAcentral's name for it is "bacterial SSU rRNA". It matches the Rfam family "Bacterial small subunit ribosomal RNA", at positions 28 to 896 of the family's 1533-position model. The record is from RNAcentral.
GAUAAACGCUGGCGGCGUGCCUAACACAUGCAAGUCGAACGCUCUGUGCGCAAGUGCAGGGAGUGGCGGACGGGUGAGGAACACGUGGGGAUCGACCCUGGGGUGAGGAAUACCGGCGAGAAAUCGCCGACAAUACCGCAUAGGCUUGGAGCAAUCCAAGCAAAGCUCGCGAGAGCGCCACAGGACGAGCCUGCGCCCGAUUAGUUAGUUGGUGGGGUAAUGGCUUACCAAGGCGACGAUCGGUAGCUGGUCUGAGAGGACGAUCAGCCACACUGGGAUUGAGAACGGCCCAGACUCCUACGGGGGGCAGCAGUGAGGAAUUUUCGUCAAUGGGGGCAACCCUGAACGAGCAACGCCGCGUGCAGGAAGAAGGUUUUCGGAUCGUAAACUGCUUUUCUCUGGGACGAGCAAGGACGGUACCAGAGGAACAAGCCCCGGCUAACUACGUGCCAGCAGCCGCGGUAAUACGUAGGGGGCGAGCGUUGUCCGGAUUUAUUGGGCGUAAAGGGUUCGGAGGCGGUGGAGCAAGUUUCGCGUGACAGUCCUCGGCUCAACUGAGGAAGGAUGCGGAAAACUGCUCGACUUGAGGGCGUAAGAGGAAAGCGGAAUUCCGGGUGGAGUGGUGAAAUGCGUAGAUAUCCGGAGGAACACCAAAGGCGAAGGCAGCUUUCUGGUACGCAUCUGACGCUGAUGGACGAAAGCCAGGGGAGCGAACGGGAUUAGAUACCCCGGUAGUCCUGGCCGUAAACGAUGACCACUAGACGUAAGAGGUAUCGACCCCCCUUGUGUCGCAGCAAACGCGAUAAGUGGUCCGCCUGGGGAGUACGGUCGCAAGAUUA